GCCGCCCCCACCCCACGCGCAUGUCUUUCGAUUCCCUCGCCGCCUCCCCGUUACCAACGCACGUCUCUUGAUCGAUCCCUGUGCGUGAUCGCCGCCGUCGCCGUCUCUCCAGAUCGCCGCCAUCGUCGUCUCUCCAGAUCGCCGCCUCCGCCGUCCCUCCAGAUCCACACAUCACGCAUCUCUUGUGCCCCGUUCGUCUCCUCGCCGGAUCCCGUCUUCGUCCGCCGCCUCCUCCCCCCCUGUGGCGAUGACCGGAGACCAACAAGACAGCAUCGUGCCCCUGGUAUUUCCUUCCCCGUCCUCUAACCCUCUACCUGAGGUUGGCGAUGGCUCGCUUCACUACCAAUCGUCCCCACCCGUGCUGCCGCCUCCGUCGGGAUCCCCUCGCCGCCUCAUUGUCCUCUUCCAAUGUUGGAGUCGCCAGGAUCAUCUGUAGGUAGAUUUUUGCUAGGCUGUCCAAGAGAUCAAUCGAUGGGUAGGUGGCAGAUCGGAGGCGGCAGGUCUAGAGACGCAGAUGCCCUUGCACAACACGGCGUCGGCGGCAGCGACAUCCCUGGGAAAGGAUCCCCUUUUCUGUCUAGGACCCCGCUAUCAUUCUCCCCUGCCCCUCCCCCGCUCUGAACGCCUUACCACUUCUCACACUUCCUCUAUCAAGGUCCUUUCCCUGUCCGCAAUGACCGUAUUCCGAGUGCCUCGAUCUUGUGGCAACCUCCUGGUAUGUUUUUUGUCUGAUCCAUGGUCUUCUCAUCCUCUUUAGUUUCUGAUUAGCAUGAUUAUCUUUUAAUAUGAUAGAAUUAUCUCAAGGGAAGAUCUAGGACCCCCCACCAGGUACAACUUUUGGUUGUAUUGAUGUUUUCUGGUGGUAAAAGAUGAUCUCUAUAAUUAUUUCUGCCACUUCAUUAUUUCAUGUACAGCCCACGUUCGCACUCUCGUUAGUUCUGGUGAUCUAUUGAUAUAAAGAUAUUAAUUUUUGCAGCGUAAAUAACUGUGUUCUUUUGUAUGCGUCACCAGGGAUAGGAAAUUGAAAGUCACCAGUGGUGAACAACAAGUGCAGAUUUAAUGUCCUUCAGGUUAUUGAUCAUUGUGGUAAUUCAUUCUUUUGUCAGACUUCAAUUGCAAUUGGGGUUGGAGGGAAGCAACAAAAUUCCUAUCUUGUAAUAGGCUUUUUGGUGUGUGCCCUGAAGGUUCGAGACACACAAAUAGGUACACUAAGUUUGGGAAAGGUAGUUGUCUCCUUAACACACUCCAUGGAGGCCAUAUUGUCUAUUCUAUUCUCUGUCUUCUUCCUUGCACAGACGCCUUCUUUACUGGUAGUAGGUUCUCUCGUGCUGGUUUUCGGUGGAGCUGUACUGUCUUGUUUGACUGAAGUUUCUUAAAUGCAAGAAUCUUUUCGCUAACAAGGAGGAUUAAGAUGAGGAAGAAACCAAGGCAGCGGGUAUGGUCUUUGGGUCGAGACCACGACCCUUAGUGUAGUCGUUGCACACAUCACAGAGAUGCUCCCUGGUGCGGCCGAGGCCAUUUCGUCCAUUUCCUUAGACGGACUUGGGUCUGUCGGCCGUGCGUGAGAGACUAGAUGGCAGGGGCGCGUGGCCGACGUUCUAUGCAUUUUUGGUGGGCUUGGGGCAUGACUAUGGCAUAGGUGGUGAGGAUGGAGAGGCACAUAUAUCUGUACGGCCCAUAGGCAAGAACCCGCUCAACGGCUAAUUAGUGGUUUUGUCUGUCAUGUCUUCGUUAGUGAUGUGUUGAUGCGCAUAUAUCCAACUAUUCAUGCUCUAUUUUGGCGGCAACCUUGUAAGGGCAUAUUUCUUCCUAAGUGGUUUUGGUGAUUGAUGACAAUGCUUUUGCGGACUAAUCGUGUGCAUUGAGCAUUUCAGA
This is a non-coding RNA of Aegilops tauschii subsp. strangulata, 1875 nucleotides long. Lineage: Eukaryota; Viridiplantae; Streptophyta; Magnoliopsida; Poales; Poaceae. The record is from RefSeq and is a predicted model, not a curated record.